Molecule: long non-coding RNA, 1828 nt
Organism: Prunus avium (sweet cherry)
Lineage: Eukaryota; Viridiplantae; Streptophyta; Magnoliopsida; Rosales; Rosaceae
Source: RefSeq, a predicted model, not a curated record
AGCUAAUUUUCUAGGGUUAGCUUAGGGUUCUUCUGGUUUGACUUCGAUUUUUAUUUUUUCUUGUUUAAUAUUCUAAUUUUGUAAUUGUAAGUAAGUUCUUAUUUUCAAUGCAACUUAUAUCUUUAUGAUUUGAUCAUCUUAGUUUUUGUUGUUAUUGGUGGGUGUGGUAAAUAUUCAUUCUUUAUGUGAAUCGAGUCUCUGUUUUGUACUACCAAGUUGGUUAAUUAGAUUGAAUUGGGCCAUUAGCCUUUUGAUGGGUAUUCAUAUUUCAAGUGAUGAAAUUUCAAAUUCAAUUUCAGUUCUUUCUUUUAUCAUUUUGGUUAUAAUCUAGCUUUUUUUGGGGUAAUUUGUUAGAGUCAUUGUUAUUAGUGAUCUUGUAUUGGAAUUCUGGAUAUGGGUUGUUUCAGUUUUCUCGUUUACUUGGAUUUGGUAGCUUCUUGGUCAGGUGUUUUGAUCUGCUAAGAGAAAUCAGUUCUCCCUAUUGAUAUGUGUUUGUGCUUUUUUAUGGCGUUGACCAUUAAAAGUUUCUGCCGCCUUGGGAUGCAGAUUGGUAGCUUUUAAUGGAAGUAUUGGCUUGGAUUAUUUGGUUCUCGAUGUAUGAGUAAUAACGUCUUAUCAUGUUCAUUAAUAUUGGUUUGAUAUGCAUGCUAACAAUUCAUUAGAUAUUCAUUAAUAUUGGUUUGAUAUGCAUGCUAACGAUUCAUUAGAUAUCAGAUUUUCUAAUAGAAAGGGGGUUUCUAUGAGAAAUGGGGUUGUGUUUCAUAUAAAUGUUUUGUUUGUAAGCUUCUAGUUUAGUUUUUUCAUGGUUAUCAACUAAUUGUCUAUGAAAUUGGUUUAUGCAUGUCACUUACUUCCCUUUUCUAUUUUUGGGUUAAGAUGUUUUCUUUCAAAAUUCUUAGGUUUGGUUUUUUGUUUAUUGCCUACUUGUUUACUUUUGGCUCAUUUUUCAAUCCUUGGUGCCUUCUCAAUUUAUGGGAGGAAUGAUGCUGGCCUAGCUUCUGGUGUUACAUUAGUUGUUUCUUUGAUUGUUUUGAACCUCCCUUGUCCAUUACUGGAUGCAGUUUCGAGUGUCACCUUAAGAGUACUGAUUCUUAUUGGAAGGACUGGAGUGUUUUCUAUUUCAAGCACAUGGCUAUGGGGACUUCAUCUGCAUUUAUGCAUAAAGCCCCCAGGAUUUGACUACAAUUUUGCAACAUCAACAUGGGUUUUACUCCAAGUCUACCAAUUCAACUUCCUCACUCUGAUUUAAUACGUGGGCAUGUUUAUUGUUGCUUCGUUUUUCCUUUCAGGAAACUUGCUCAGGCUUCUUGGCAAAGAGCCUCCAGACUUGUCAAGAGUAGGAAUUCUAGUUUGUAUAAUUUGGGUGGUUUUGCAUCAUUGGUACACUUGUGAUCAAAUGUUCAAAGGGUAUCAAAAUUCAGAGGUUCAUUGGACCAUGCACAUCUUUGGAGAAGGUAGACAAUUUGGUCAUUUAGAACUUGCUUUUAUCUACAUUAAUGUCAGUGAUUAGAAUUAAUGAAAUACAUUUGGUAAGAUUUGUGUUUGUGGAGUUUGAUGUUAAUUUUGCAAGUCUUGUAGAAGGGACCUGUUUUUGCUGAUAUUGCUACAGGGAACGGGAAUAUAACAACUUGGAAAAUGUACAAGAAGGCAGAGCUAACUCAUACACCGAAGAAUAAAUUGAUGAAGUUCAUAUUAAAUUAGUAGAAUUUGUGAACCACAUGUAGCUCCUUUAUUUCUAAUUAUAGGUAGGAAGUAUGUAAUAGAGUAAAGAUUGAUUGACUAUGUAAUGAUUAUUGAAUCUUCAAGUUAUAUUAAAGAAAUAAAUUUU